UUUCUUGAUUAUUGUUCCAGAAUGGAAUACAAGAAAUAGCUACUGAGCUUUAUAUAACAACUCAAUAACCUCCCUAACUACUGAAGUAGUUACAGCAGAGUAAUUGCAACAGCUUAGCAACUCCUGUAACCAACUUUCUCCUUUUCCUGCCAAUCCUAACCACCAAACCCACUCCAAAACUAACUCACAACAUCCCUAACUACCUCUUUCUAUAUCUCCUCCUCUGAUAUGUAACAUUCUGUUAAUUUGGAUAACUUUGUUUAGCAUUCCAGUGUAGGCCUGUAAAUUGAAGUUCUACAUUUUAUUUUAUGGCCAUUCCUUUGAAUCACUUUGUUCAGUUUGCUUUUCAAUGAUUUAGGUUGGACAAACCAGAAUUUUUACAUGAAAUUCACAUGUAAAAAAAGAGGAAGAAGAAAAAAAACCUUGGUCUUGGAAUAAAAUUUGCAGCACUACUAAUGUGGUGGUGAGUGAAGACAGAUUGCCAACACAUUGAGGUCUCUAAUACAUAAAAUAUAAGUGGCUAUUUCCCCAUGCCUUAGAUUCUAAUAACUAAUUCUCUCAAGUUAUACGCAAACUCAACAGCAAGUUUGUUAUGCAGAGUUUGUGCAAACACAUGUAUGCUCUGUUCUGGGAAAAAUAAAGUUCACUCAGUUUGUGCUCUGAAGGGCAUACAUUCAAGUGUUUUCUUGCAAGACCAAAGGUGUUCCUAUCCUAAAUAAUUAGUCCUCUUGUUAAUCUUGUUUUACGAGAAUUUUUUUCUUCUGGUCAACUUUAAUAUUCCAUUUAUUCGAUGAUAUUUAGAAAAUGUGCUUCAAAAAAAGUAGUCAUUUUACGUUUUUCAUUUGUAAAUAUGUAUGGUGCAAUUCAACUUCUUGAUUCAUCAUGUGUGCUGAAAAAUUAGAAAACAAUGAAAGGAAAAAAAAAAAA
This 927-nucleotide unclassified non-coding RNA is filed under the name Hevea brasiliensis (rubber tree). The record is from RNAcentral. Lineage: Eukaryota; Viridiplantae; Streptophyta; Magnoliopsida; Malpighiales; Euphorbiaceae.